This 468-nucleotide ribosomal RNA is filed under the name Acanthamoeba sp. Its description in RNAcentral is "SSU rRNA". It matches the Rfam family "Eukaryotic small subunit ribosomal RNA", at positions 740 to 1095 of the family's 1831-position model. Lineage: Eukaryota; Discosea; Longamoebia; Acanthamoebidae. The record is from RNAcentral.
GGCCCAGAUCGUUUACCGUGAAAAAAUUAGAGUGUUCAAAGCAGGCAGAUCCAAUUUUCUGCCACCGAAUACAUUAGCAUGGGAUAAUGGAAUAGGACCCUGUCCUCCUAUUUUCAGUUGGUUUUGUUUACAGUGAGGUUCAUCAGGGUAAUGAUUAAUAGGGAUAGUUGGGGGCAUUAAUAUUUAAUUGUCAGAGGUGAAAUUCUUGGAUUUAUGAAAGAUUAACUUCUGCGAAAGCAUCUGCCAAGGAUGUUCUCAUUAAUCAAGAACGAAAGUUAGGGGAUCGAAGACGAUCAGAUACCGUCGUAGUCUUAACCAUAAACGAUGCCGACCAGCAAUUAGGAGACGUUGAAUACAAAACACCACCAUCGGUUGCGCGGUCAUCCUUGGCGUCUCUGUUUCGGCCGGGGCGCGGGGAUGGCUUAGCCCGGUGGCACCGGUGAAUGACUCCCCUAGCAGCUUGUGAGA